GUACUGAUAAAAUACUGAAAACAGUGGCCAAGUUCUUCCAAGCAGAAGCGCUAACAUGGAUUUUGCAGUAUCAAUAUCAAGACUUCGCUGGUCUUUAUCCCUUGCAAAAUCAAAGGCAUAUCUGUAGAUAUUCUUAAAGGAUGAGAUGUCAUUCAACUGUGACCGCAAGAAGUCAAAUUUACUCUGUAACUUUUCUGUACAGUCACACUGUAAUGAGGUCAUCCCCUUUAACCAUUCUUCCUUGGUAAAAAAUCCCAUGCUUUCAGCCUCUAGCUUCCAGGCUAAAACUAACAUAAUAAUAUUUUCAGGCUCAACACCAAUGUCUUCGCAGAACUUUUCCAUUCCUUCAGGCCCCACAACAUCAUCAGGACCUGCAUAUUCAUGAAACCAUGCUAGGCACUUCUUGCUUGAAAAAUGUUCAUCUCCACUUAUUACUUUACCAGAGGCUUGUGACCUGCAAUAGCUGCCGAGUUUACACUUCUUGAGGCCGGCCUCGUCCGCCGCCGCCGCCGGCCCCGAGGAUUUUCUCUUCUUCUUCACCGGCAUCGUUUUGCUCCGGCCGGGGGCCGCCCCGCUGCCGGGGCUCGCCGCCUGGGCCCCCCGAGCUCAGCGCUCCGGCCGCUGCUGUUUAGCGGGCCGGGUCGGGCCGGGUCAGGUCGGGCCGGGCCCCGCCGCCUCCGCGCCGGCCCGAGCAGUGAGCUACGCGCCCGGGGCGGGAACGGGGAACCGGGCGGCAGCGGCUGCGGAUGGAACGGCG
This 757-nucleotide long non-coding RNA is filed under the name Gallus gallus (chicken). The record is from RNAcentral. Lineage: Eukaryota; Metazoa; Chordata; Aves; Galliformes; Phasianidae.